AGUGAACGCUGGCGGUAGGCCUAACACCUGCAAGUCGAACGGCAGCACAGUAAGAGCUUGCUCUUACGGGUGGCGAGUGGCGGACGGGUGAGGAAUACAUCGGAAUCUACUUUUUCGUGGGGGAUAACGUAGGGAAACUUACGCUAAUACCGCAUACGACCUACGGGUGAAAGCAGGGGAUCUUCGGACCUCGCGCGACUGAAUGAGCCGAUGUCGGAUUAGCUAGUUGGCGGGGUAAAGGCCCACCAAGGCGACGGUCCGAUGCUGGUCUGAGAGGAUGGACAGCCACACUGGAACUGCGACACGUACCAUACUCCUACGGGAAGCAGCAGUGGGUAAUAUUGGACAAUGGGAGCAAGCCUUAUCCAGGCAUCCCGCGUGGUUGAAGAAGGCCUUCGGGUUGUAAAGCCCUUUUGUUGGGAAAGAAAAGCAGCAGAUUAAUACCCCGCUGUUCUGACGGUACCCAGAGAAUAAGCACCGGCUAACUUCGUG
Molecule: ribosomal RNA, 492 nt
Filed under: uncultured bacterium
Lineage: Bacteria
Description: partial 16S ribosomal RNA
Rfam family: Bacterial small subunit ribosomal RNA
Source: RNAcentral